This is an RNA transcript of Papaver somniferum (opium poppy), 1835 nucleotides long. It is a transcript of the gene named probable serine/threonine-protein kinase WNK11, with no coding region annotated. The record is from RefSeq and is a predicted model, not a curated record. Lineage: Eukaryota; Viridiplantae; Streptophyta; Magnoliopsida; Ranunculales; Papaveraceae. The transcript has 4 exons.
UUCUUUUGUUUGCUUCCAGAAGAUUUCUUUUCGUCGCUUUACAUAUCUCUCUUCUUUGUAGUUUCUUCGUUAUCACCGAAAAGCAAAAGGAAGAUGUUGCAGCUUAAUCCGUAUCCCCAUCAAUCUCCAACUUCCUCCUCUUUCACGGUUUUUUAGCAAUUGUAGAUAAGAAACAAUAUCUCAUCAUCUUCUUCAAUAAAAAAAUCUUGAUUGAUUUUUCGAAGAUGGCGUGUGAUCAAACGAACGAUGAUGAUAAAGAUUCAGAACCGUUCGUUGAAUUAGAUCCAACUGGUAGAUAUGGGAGAUACUGUGAUCUAUUAGGUACUGGUGCAGUAAAGAAGGUGUACAGAGCUUUUGAUCAAGAAGAAGGGAUAGAAGUUGCUUGGAAUCAAGUUUUCUUGAAUAGUUUCAGUGGUGAUGAGAUGAUGAUCGAUCGGCUUUUUGCUGAAGUUCGAUUACAUCGGUCUUUGAGAGAUGAUAAUAUAAUUGCUUUUUACAAUCAUUGGACUGAUGAUAAACAGAAUACGUUGAAUUUCAUCACAGAAAUUUGUACUUCUGGUAAUCUGAGAGAAUAUCGUAAGAAACAUCGCCAUAUUUCUCUCAAAGCUUUGAAGAAAUGGUGUAGACAGAUUCUUAGAGGUUUAGAAUAUCUCCAUACCCAUGAACCCUGUAUCAUUCACAGAGAUCUCAAUUGCAGUAAUAUCUUCAUUAAUGGAAAUGUCGGUCAGGUGAAGAUAGGGGAUUUGGGUUUAGCGGCAAUGGUAGGAAAAAAUCAUUCAGCACAUUCAGUACUUGGAACACCAGAAUUUAUGGCACCAGAAUUAUAUGAUGAGAAUUACACAGAGAUGGUUGAUAUCUACUCAUAUGGAUUAUGUGUGUUAGAAUUGGUGACACUGGAAUUACCCUACCUCAAGCUUACUGCAGGAAUAAGGCCUCAAGCUAUGAACAAAGUGAAACACCCAGAGGUGAAAGAAUUCAUCGAAAGAUGUCUCGCUAAACCUAGAGCCAGACCUUCUGCUUCAGAAUUACUGCGUGACCCUUUCUUUGAUGGACUUGAUGAUGACGAAGAAGUAGAUGUUAGUUUUUAGUUAGUUCAUUGAUUUAGAGCAAGGAAAGAAGGUUAGAUAGCCUGUUUUUUUUUGUACAUAGUAGGUUGCUUUUCCAGUUUAUAUAAAUGGGUACAGGUUUACCUUGAACUUGUGUCGUCAAGGGAUUUAAUUCUUUUCCAAUGAGUGUACUUGGUGUACACUGCUUGCAGAAACUAGGCAAAUCAAACCUUAAUUUGUUCCCAAGAGAACCACAUACUACUCCAACUUUCCAAGUUUUAGGCAACAAAAGGGUGAGAAACAUGAGGUUUGGUCGCAUGCAUGACUGCAUUUAUAAAAAUUUAUAUCCUUGCCUUUGCAGGUAAAAUGCUCCGAGUGACCACUUGCUUAACGGAUCCAGGACCACUUGCAAGCCUAGAAGCAAACAUGAUGUCAGUACAUAAAUACACACUAAAGACACCCAGGCUGAAACUUGAACCUGCAAGAAGUCGCACAUAACAGAAACAAAGUCAUGAAAGGUUCUGCAUAAAGAUGAACUUCUCAUCAAGCUAGAUAGACAUUUAAGAUGCGGAUAAGUUUUUAGUUGAUGCAGAUAAGUUUUUAUUUGAUCAAUCCUAACCAGCAGUUGCAUGGUUCUUCGAUGAGUUGAUAGUACCAGAGACAUGAAAUAGUAUCAGUUAAGGAUCAGAUAUACGAAGUAAUUCAUCUCAUAAUGUACCAAAUACUAACCACAAAUGAUGUACUUACAGACACUAAAAUUGAACAUUCAAAUACAGAACCCAGGUUUAA